This 479-nucleotide ribosomal RNA is filed under the name uncultured bacterium. RNAcentral describes it as "partial 16S ribosomal RNA". It matches the Rfam family "Bacterial small subunit ribosomal RNA", at positions 28 to 507 of the family's 1533-position model. The record is from RNAcentral.
GAUGAACGCUAGCGGGAGGCCUAACACAUGCAAGCCGAGCGGUAUUUGUUCUUCGGAACAGAGAGAGCGGCGCACGGGUGCGGAACACGUGUGCAACCUGCCUUUAUCUGGGGGAUAGCCUUUCGAAAGGAAGAUUAAUACCCCAUAAUAUAUUGAGUGGCAUCAUUUGAUAUUGAAAACUCCGGUGGAUAGAGAUGGGCACGCGCAAGAUUAGAUAGUUGGUGAGGUAACGGCUCACCAAGUCAAUGAUCUUUAGGGGGCCUGAGAGGGUGAUCCCCCACACUGGUACUGACACACGGACCAGACUCCUACGGGAGGCAGCAGUGAGGAAUAUUGGACAAUGGGUUAGCGCCUGAUCCAGCCAUCCCGCGUGAAGGACGACGGCCCUAUGGGUUGUAAACUUCUUUUGUAUAGGGAUAAACCUACUCUCGUGAGAGUAGCUGAAGGUACUAUACGAAUAAGCACCGGCUAACUCCGUG